RNAcentral lists this ribosomal RNA (853 nucleotides) under Staphylococcus aureus. Its description in RNAcentral is "partial 23S ribosomal RNA". It matches the Rfam family "Bacterial large subunit ribosomal RNA", at positions 1316 to 2164 of the family's 2925-position model. Lineage: Bacteria; Bacillati; Bacillota; Bacilli; Caryophanales; Staphylococcaceae. The record is from RNAcentral.
GACGGGUGAGAAUCCCGUCCACCGAUUGACUAAGGUUUCCAGAGGAAGGCUCGUCCGCUCUGGGUUAGUCGGGUCCUAAGCUGAGGCCGACAGGCGUAGGCGAUGGAUAACAGGUUGAUAUUCCUGUACCACCUAUAAUCGUUUUAAUCGAUGGGGGGACGCAGUAGGAUAGGCGAAGCGUGCGAUUGGAUUGCACGUCUAAGCAGUAAGGCUGAGUAUUAGGCAAAUCCGGUACUCGUUAAGGCUGAGCUGUGAUGGGGAGAAGACAUUGUGUCUUCGAGUCGUUGAUUUCACACUGCCGAGAAAAGCCUCUAGAUAGAAAAUAGGUGCCCGUACCGCAAACCGACACAGGUAGUCAAGAUGAGAAUUCUAAGGUGAGCGAGCGAACUCUCGUUAAGGAACUCGGCAAAAUGACCCCGUAACUUCGGGAGAAGGGGUGCUCUUUAGGGUUAACGCCCAGAAGAGCCGCAGUGAAUAGGCCCAAGCGACUGUUUAUCAAAAACACAGGUCUCUGCUAAACCGUAAGGUGAUGUAUAGGGGCUGACGCCUGCCCGGUGCUGGAAGGUUAAGAGGAGUGGUUAGCUUCUGCGAAGCUACGAAUCGAAGCCCCAGUAAACGGCGGCCGUAACUAUAACGGUCCUAAGGUAGCGAAAUUCCUUGUCGGGUAAGUUCCGACCCGCACGAAAGGCGUAACGAUUUGGGCACUGUCUCAACGAGAGACUCGGUGAAAUCAUAGUACCUGUGAAGAUGCAGGUUACCCGCGACAGGACGGAAAGACCCCGUGGAGCUUUACUGUAGCCUGAUAUUGAAAUUCGGCACAGCUUGUACAGGAUAGGUAGGAGCCUUUGAAACG